RNAcentral lists this ribosomal RNA (246 nucleotides) under uncultured bacterium. Its description in RNAcentral is "partial 16S ribosomal RNA". It matches the Rfam family "Bacterial small subunit ribosomal RNA", at positions 57 to 305 of the family's 1533-position model. The record is from RNAcentral.
GCAAGUCGAACGGCAGCGGGCCCUUCGGGGUGCCGGCGAGUGGCGAACGGGUGAGUAAUGCAUCGGAACGUACCCGGGGGAGGGGGAUAACCGGCCGAAAGGCUGGCUAAUACCGCAUGAACUCGGAAGAGCAAAGCGGGGGACCUGCAGGCCUCGCGCUCUCGGAGCGGCCGGUUCCGAUUAGGCUAGUUGGUGGGGUAAAGGCCCACCAAGGCGACGAUCGGUAGCGGGUCUGAGAGGACGAUC